RNAcentral lists this ribosomal RNA (492 nucleotides) under uncultured bacterium. Its description in RNAcentral is "partial 16S ribosomal RNA". It matches the Rfam family "Bacterial small subunit ribosomal RNA", at positions 29 to 507 of the family's 1533-position model. The record is from RNAcentral.
AGUGAACGCUGGCGGUAGGCCUAACACAUGCGAGUCGAACGGCAGCACAGUAAGAGCUUGCUCUUACGGGUGGCGAGUGGCGGACGGGUGAGGAAUACAUCGGAAUCUACUUUUUCGUGGGGGAUAACGUAGGGAAACUUACGCUAAUACCGCAUACGACCUACGGGUGAAAGCAGGGGAUCUUCGGACCUUGCGCGAUUGAAUGAGCCGAUGUCAGAUUAGCUAGUUGACGGGGUAAAGGCCCACCAAGGCGACGAUCCGUAGCUGGUCUGAGAGGAUGAUCAGCCACACUGGAACUGAGACACGGUCCAGACUCCUACGGGAGGCAGCAGUGGGGAAUAUUGGACAAUGGGCGCAAGCCUGAUCCAGCCAUACCGCGUGGGUGAAGAAGGCCUUCGGGUUGUAAAGCCCUUUUGUUGGGAAAGAAAAGCAGCAGGUUAAUACCCCGCUGUUCUGACGGUACCCAAAGAAUAAGCACCGGCUAACUUCGUG